Molecule: long non-coding RNA, 14040 nt
Filed under: Medicago truncatula (barrel medic)
Lineage: Eukaryota; Viridiplantae; Streptophyta; Magnoliopsida; Fabales; Fabaceae
Description: long non-coding RNA (MTRU_LNC006543)
Source: RNAcentral
AAGGUGAUAGUUUAUCUCUUUUUUCUUUAUGUUGUGCAAAUUUAACCUAGGAUUAUUUUGAGAUUACAAAAGCCUAUUUUUGUAUGUGUAAAUUAUCUAUAGCUUGCACUGGGUUCAUGGAUUGCAUUGAUUAAGAAAGGUAAUGAAUGGGAAAAAGCUCUAAAGGAGGCAAGAGAAAUCAUGGAGAAGUUAGAAGAGGAUAUAAAGGGGAAGAAAUUCUUUGGUGGGGACACUAUUGGGUACCUUGAUCUUACUCUUGGAUGGAUCACUUGUUUUCUUCCAAUUUGGGAAGAAAUUGGGUCAACGCAGAUACUUGACCCAUUAAAAUGUCCUUCCAUCUCUUCAUGGAAGAUCAACUUUCUGAGCCAUCCUAUCAUCAAGGAGUGUUUGCCACCAAGGGAUGAAAUGAUUCUUUAUUGCCACCGUCGCAUAAAGGAGUAUUCUUCAACUCAUCGUGGUUAAUUGGUUAUUGAUAUUUAUGCAUGCAUGCAUGUUCGAGUUUCAUUUGAUUUUCUGAGUAACUUAUGUAUCAUAUAUAGUACUUUGUGUUGUGAAUUAUGUAACGCUAAAUAAAUUAGUUUGGAAGCCUUGUAAAUGAAUGGAAAUUAUGAAAGAUGUGGCGACACUUAUGGUGUGCUACCUUGCUUGCUAGAGUCUUUGGGAUAUAUAGACUCGGUUCUUGUCAAUGCUCUUCAUUGGCUAUCCUCUCUUAAUUUUGGUACAUUCAUCGUAGAAAUGCGACGUAGACUUAUCAAUCACCCUAGAGCAUAUAUUUUAGUAUCAGGUGCAAUAGUAAACGCUUGUAGAUAUCUUUUGUGUGUGUUUGGUACAGCGGUGUCGAGAAUUGAUUUUGAUAGAAUUGAGUUUAAGUGAAUUGAUUUUGGUUAAAAGUGAGUUGAAUGUGAAUAGAUUAUGUUUGGAUACACUUUACUAUAAGUGAUUCUCAUGUUUGAAUAGUUUGAAUCAAAAUUAAUUUUGAAUGUCUAAUAACUAAAUUAUCCUUAUAAUUAAAACUAAAUAUUUCAUUCUUAAUUAAAAUAAUUAUUUAAACUUAUCUAAAAUCAUAAAUGGAUUUUGAUUUGUUCACAAAUUUAUUUAAAAAUAAUUUCAUAUUAUAAGAGUUUUUUCAUAAUUUUUUUUUUAUCAAUUGAGUUAUUUUUAAUAACUCCCUCACGUCUCCCACUCCCCAUGCUUCAUUUCUCCAUAAGCCUUCACUUCUACCCACUAUCCAUUUCCAUCUUUUUCUCCACCUCUCAAUACUCUACAUUUUCCUUUUCCAUCUUCCAUUUCCAUCUUCUUCUAACCUUUUCUUCUUCCCAAUUUCACCAUUUUUCUCUCAUACCUUUUCUCCAUUACUCAACUCACCAAUUAAGAACAAAUCUCUCCAUCACUCAUCACUAUUUUCCUUUUUCAUCUUUUUCUAUCUAUUUCAUCUGCAAAUCCAACAAAAUUAAGAUAGAUCAGCAAAAAUAAAGAAGAAGAAAGAUGUUCUUUUUGAGGAAGAAGAAGAAGAAAAAUGUUUAUUCAUAAGAAAUUGGGGAAGAAAACAUGGGUAUAUUGGUAACUAUACAUGUCAUUGUAAUCAAAAUUGAGUUUCACAAAAGCAGAAGUUAAGAAUACCAGCUUCUGUUGUAUUGGCGUUUUGAGAUCAAAACUGAGUUUCCUGAAAGCACUUUUUAUUCACCCAAACAAAAAAAAAAAAAUCUGGAAACCACGUUUGAAAAAGUGAACUCACGUUUCGCUUCUAAAAAAGUGAUGCCAAACACAUACUUUGUCUUUCUUCUCAAACAUAGAGUCGGGUUGCAAGUCGUGCCCGUCUAUCCGUUUGUUUCCUCGUGAACUUAGUUCAAUUGGUAGGGACAAAUGCAUAAUAUAUGCAAGGUCUAGGGUUCGAACCUCGUCCACCACAAAUUAAAUAUAGUAUGAUCAAUUUUUUUUUGGAAAUAAGAUUAAAAUAAGUUGUCAAAUUAACUAUUUUUUAAUCAAUAAUUUAAAGGGUUAGUUUUUUCAAAAAAUUUAAAAGGUUAAUCGUUCAAAUUGACCAUAUAAGAUAUGCGAAAUCUAAAAAAAUGAUCAUAUAAAGAAAUACAGAUUUUAACCUAUAAUUUGAGAUACUUUAUAUUUUUAUCUCUCAUUUUUCUAUGUAGACAUAAACUUCAAAAAAAUUGACUUAGAGAGUUUUUUUAUGAUUUUUUACAAGCAUGUUUGAGACGUUAAAAUACGUCCUUCCUUAUAAAAUUAUAAUUUUUCGAUAAGGGACGGAUUCACUGUAAAUUUUUAAAGCGUCAAUUACUCAAAAAACAAAACAACAGAAACAUUGACCUACAAAUCGAAUUUUGAGCUGUUUUUUUUCCCUGCAGAGAUAUCUAUAAAAAUAUAUAGAAAGGAUAUACAGAGUUUCAUAGCAUUUUAAACAAACCUCAAUUUAUUUUUAUUUUUUGAUAUUUUUUGAUCUAAACGUGCAAAAUUGUUAUUUUGUUUUGAGUAAGCAUAUAUUUACGCGUCAAAUUUUAUUCCCUAAUUUUACUAUCUUGAUCACAAUAUCAUAAGAACCUACGCCAUAGAAUUUUAGAGUUUUUAAAUGAGAGACAAAUCAAUUAUGAAUUUUGAUUUCCCCUAAUUAUAAAAUUCUGAGCUUGAUUUUAAGGUGGUGAUAUAUAGCUUCCAUUUAAAUAAAAAAGAAUUUUCUCACAUUGGUUUAUUACUCGUGAUUGUAUUCGUUCUUUGUCUAUUUUUAGUAUAAAUUCUUUGAUAGAAUUCAUUAGAAAACAAGCAACCACAUAUACAACCGGUGCUCUGCUCAUGAUUUUGAUGUUAUUCAUGAUGUCCUAAUGAUAUCACAUAAGUUUGUUUGUCUAAAAUAACUCCACUCGCUAAUGGUAUCUUAAUAACUUAAUAAGAACAACAGACAACAUUUUCUACAUAAACAAACUUGUUAUUAAAUUAUUCUAGAUAUAUCAUCCCCUAAAAAAUAAAUUAUUUUAGAGAAGACCAAUGUUAUAGAAGUAUCAUUCUCACCAAUAACAAGAGAAAACAUUGUGUAACGAGGCCACUCCCAAAAUAUAAUAAUAACAACUAUAUUGAACAAAAUCAUAUCAUUGGAAAUUAAGUCCAAACAUUCUUAAGCCGGCCUAACCAGCUCAUGCCUUGCAGGACCUAAGCAGGACAUGACCUUGUCAAUGUCACCCCACAAUGUCUUACACAUAUGUUCAUUUCUCAAAUGUUAAUUCUAUUUCAUCAUUUCUCACAUUCUAUAAUAUUCUUCAUUCACUUUAUAAUUAUUUCUCAUUUCAUCAUUUUUUUUUUUCCAUCUUAACUCUAAUCAUGUUUCAUGAAAGAGAAUUCAUCUCUAUUAUCAUUCUCUUCAUGAUAGCCUUUUGUUUCUUACCAUCCUCAACAGCUGACACAGAUGCUCAAAUUCUAGUGAACUUCAAAAGCUUCUUAUCCAAUGCAGAUGCUUUAAACAAUUGGAGUAACGAUUCUAUUAAUGUGUGCACAUGGACUGGUUUAAUAUGCAUCAAUCAAACUAUACUUCAUGGUUUGAGACUAGAAAAUAUGGGACUAAGUGGAACAAUUAAUGUUGACAUCCUUAUGAAAUUGUCCAAUUUGAAGAGUUUUAGUGUUAUUAACAAUAAUUUUGAGGGUACAAUGCCUUCAUUCAAUAAAAUUGUGGGAUUAAGGGCAUUGUUUCUGACCAAAAAUAAAUUCUCUGGUGAAAUUCCUGAUGAUGCUUUUGAAGGGUUAAGAUGGCUCAAGAGAGUAUUCUUAGCAGAAAAUGGAUUUAAGGGUCAUAUUCCUAAAUCCCUUGCUCAAUUGCCUAGACUUUAUGAUAUUGAUUUACAUGGAAAUAGCUUUGAUGGCAAUAUACCAGAUUUUCUACAGAGUGGUUUCAGAGUGUUUAAUUUAUCUAACAAUCAAUUGGAGGGUGCAAUACCAGAAGGUUUGAGAAAUGAGGAUCCAAGUGUUUUUGCAGGUAUGCAAUUAGUGUUUUAUUUGUUCUUACUUAUUACUAUAAGAAAUUCAAAACAAAUAUCCAAAUUUAUUGUUAAUUUUCAAUUGAUUCUGACUAUUUUGACAAUAUAGUCGGGUUUGAUCUCUAAGAAAAAUGAAACUCGAGUUACUUACUCCUUCAUACAAAUAUUAAUUAUAAUCAAUCUUACAGAUUUCUUGGAUUUUGAUUAUGACUUUGUUCCUGUUCCUAGGAACCAUUUUUAGAUAUGUUUUAUCUAAUAUUUCUUGUGCAACAGGCAACAAAGGUCUGUGCGGAAAACCUCUUGAACAGCCCUGCAGCGAAAGCCAUAGUGCUCCGCGUGAAGAAGAAAACGAAAAAGAACCUAAGAAACGCCAUGUUCUUAUUAGUAUUAUUGCAUUUGUGGUAGUGCUUAUAUUGGCUUCAAUACUGGCACUUUUGUUCAUUCGAUACCGUAGAAAGAAAGCUGCAGAAAAAUCAAUUUGGAAUAUGGAGAAUGCACAAUCACAGUCUCAUAACACCAACACCAGUACAGCUUCCACGAGUGAGGCCAAAUCAAUUGUAGUUGAAUCCAAGAAAAACAAAGAUGAAGAUUUGAACUUCGUUACGAACGAAAGGGUUGAGUUUGAUUUGCAGGACUUGUUAAGGGCCUCAGCAGAGGUUUUGGGAAGUGGAAGUUUUGGAUCCACUUACAAGGCUAUGGUAUUGACAGGACCAGUUGUUGUAGUGAAAAGAUUUAAGCACAUGAACAAAGUUGGCAAAAAAGAGUUCUAUGAUCAUAUGAGAAGGCUUGGAAGGUUGACACAUCCUAAUCUACUCCCUCUAGUUGCAUUCUAUUAUGGAAAAGAUGAGAAGCUUUUGAUACACGAUUUUGCAGAAAAUGGCAGCUUGGCAAGUCAUCUUCACGGUAUGAUAUGCGUAACAUUAAUUCAUUUUAUAAUCUAUUUCAUAAUAUUAAAGAAACAUCAAAUGUAACUAGUAAUUUUGAUUGUGAUUGUGCAAAAUUAUGCCUCAUGUUUAUGAUGAUUUGCAUUAUAAAUGCAGGUAGACAUUGUGAGUUGGAUUGGGCAACACGUUUGAAGAUAAUCAAAGGAGUAGCUAGAGGUUUAGCUUACCUUUACAGAGAAUUUCCGGACGAAAAGUUACCACAUGGACAUCUAAAAUCAUCGAAUGUUGUGUUAGACCAUUCAUUUGAGCCUUUUUUAACUGAGUAUGGACUUGUGGAAGUAACUGACUUGAACCAUGCUCAACAGUUCAUGGUAGGCUACAAGUCCCCAGAGGUGAGUCAACAUGAAGGGCCGAGCGAGAAGAGCGACGUAUGGUGUUUAGGGAUACUUAUAUUGGAGCUAUUGACAGGGAAGUUCCCUGCAAAUUAUUUGAGGCAUGGGAAGGGAGCAAAUGAAGAUUUAGCAAUGUGGGUGGAAUCUAUAGUGAGGGAUGGGUGGAGUGGAGAAGUGUUGGAUAAAAGCAUAGGUGGUGGGAGUAGAGGUGAAGAAGGUGAGAUGUUGAAGCUGUUGAGGAUUGGAAUGAGUUGUUGUGAAUGGAGUUUGGAGAAUAGGUUGGGUUGGAAGGAGGCAGUGGCAAAGAUUGAGGAGUUGAAGGAAAUGGAUCAUGUGGGGGUUGGAGGAGGAGUUCAGAGUCAAGACUCUGACUUGUCUCUUUGAUUCUUACUUGUCUUGCUUCUAUAUUGUGUGUAUAUGAUCAUUAUAAAUCAUAUUUUUUGCUACAAAAUUUAUUAAAUAAGAUGUUUUUGGUUUUUCCAUUUAUAUUUCAAACUUGUCUUAAAAAAAGUUGUUCAAAAUUUUAGUAAAUGAACCUUUUAUAGUGUUUUAAACUUGUCUUAAAAAAAUCGUUCAAAAAAUUUAAUAGUUUAAGGAUAGUUAAACAAACUUUAUUUUAGCAGGGACUAAAAUUAGAAGUAAUUUUUUUUUUUUGUAGGUAUUAAAAAACCUAUUAAAAUUAAGUAAGGACUAAACUUAAAAGUUCUCAAUUUUAUAGGGACCAAACACAUAUUUAACCCUAUUAUCAAUAUAAAUUAAAUGGUUAAAUAUGUUUUUGGUCCCUAUAAAUAUGUCAAUUUUUUGUUUUAGUCCCUCUAAAAUUUUCCUUCAACUUUUAGUCCCUAUAAAAUUUUCAAUCACUACUUUUGGUCCCUAUUUUUAAUUUAAUUUUUGUAUUUUUUUUUUUAAUGAAAUUGUGUAGAAAUGUGUAAAAUAUUCUAAAAAAACUUCCUUUAAAAAAUUAAUUUUUUUUUAACAAAACACAAAUUAAAUAUGAAUUUUUAACCAUAAAAAUUAUAAAAAUUCAUAUUAAAUUCAUGGUUUGUUAAAAAAUUCUAAAUUUUUUUUUGCAGUGAUUCUUAUAAUAUUUUGAAUUUAUCUGAAAAAUUUUAUUAAAAAAUAUGAAUUCUACAUAUGAAUUUACUUUAAAAGAGGGACCAAAAGUGAAGAUUGAAAAUUUUAUAGGGAUUAAAAGUUGAAGGAAAAUUUUAGAGGGACUAAAAUGAAAAAUUGACAUAUGUAUAGGGACCAAAAACAUAUUUAACCCUAAAUUAAUUACAUAAACAAAAAAUCAUCAUAAAAUUUCCCGUGCAAGGCACGAGUUUCAAGUUUCAACCUAGUAACUAACAUAACCACGUUGAGACAAUAUUGAGUAUUGAUGUUGGCACAUUUGGUUUGGCUGAGACACACGAGUAAUUUACCUAAACGUCUCUCGGCAGUUAACUGACGAAGUUUUAGAAAACCGGCUGAAGUUAACUGCUGAGGAAAAUCUCGACAGUUAACUACCGAAGCAAUUUUUAAAAAGAAAACUCCUUCGGCACUUAAGUACCGUGAAGCAUGAAUAUUGAUUUUAAAAAGAAAACUCCAAUGAAUGCUGCAAAUGUUGAUGGAUACCGAACUUGAUGACAAUCAGAUGGAUUUUGCCCAAACUGCUCACACGAGUGGUAAAGAUCUCUUGAAGUUGUAGCCUUUCAUCCACAUGCAAUUCUAGAUGAAGUUCUAUCACUAAGAAGAUGAUUGGGAAGUCACACGUAGAUAUGAAGUGGUGGAAUGUGUCGGUUUCUUUUUUUGUUCUACAAUAUGAGUGUUUUGGAAAAGUUAUGAAAGAGAGAUGCUUCAAAACUUUUAUCUCAAAUUUUAUUAUUUAACCUUAAUGAUGUGUCAAAGAUUAAUUGGAUGUGCCCAAAAGUGAUGUGUUGAGUAUGUGACUAACUAAGAGUUUCUCAUGAGGAGGGAAUGUGCUUCAUCACUAACGCCUCGUUUUCCGCAACUUAAAAAAAAAACAAGCAUGCGCAAACAAAAGAUGAUCAUAGCAGCAUUUCUAUUUCCUACAAAUUUUGACGUCUCUAUUCUCAACUUCUCUGAUUAACAUUGAUAAGCGCUCUAUCAACACUCAAUAUUAUUUAUGAGUGUGCUUGCUUCAAAGCAGUUGACUUGAUUAUUGUUGGUCGUGAUCAUAACUUACAUACUUAUGUUACUGACAUCCUUUAUAUUAGAGAUCCUAUACAUAAAAAUGAAAAUAUAACAUUGGUGCAUGUUGGGAACAAAAUAUGUGUGCAAAUUUUAUGGCUAAGGAAAGAUCACAUGCAAGGUGCUCUGCUCACUAAAACUGUCCUUCGUCUGGCAUUCACUCAUCCUGAGAGCAAAUGUUUGCAUCAAUAUGAGAGAGUUUAUAUGAUAAAAUUUUGAAAACUCGUGGAUAUUUUUAAAAUAUAUUUUAAUGUUAAUAUAUUGUUUCUAUUAAAUAAUUUUUAUUUUAUAUGCAAAUUAGUGGGAUUGAGAGAUUAAUUUAUGACAUAUUAGGAAAAAAAUAGCAAGAUUAAGUGCGGAGAAUAAACGUUUUUCCUAUAUUUUUGUCAUAAGAGAGGAGAAUAAAUUAUUUUCCUAUAUUUAUGACGUAAUAUAAUCCCUAAAAAAAAAAAAUGAUGAUGUAAUAUAUUGUUGGGUUAAAUAAUGUUUACGUCCCUAAAAUGUUACAAAUUUUGAUUUUGAUCCUUAAAAAAUAAAACGAGAUGUUUUCAUCCUCAUAAGAAAUUAUUUUGUUUUCCUAAAAAAAAAAUUAUCUUGUUUUUGGUUUAUGAUGACCAUUUUAUGUUCAUAUUAAUGUCGAUAUUAUGAUUUUUUAUGUUCAAAAUAUGUCAAACGUUGUAUCCAUUUAUUAUAUUAAAGGGUAAAUUAAGUUUUUGCUCCCUAUAAAUAUCUGCAGUUUUGUUUUAAGUCCCUACAAAAACAAAUCACACUUUUUAGUCCUUACAAAAUUUUCCGUUAAUGUUUUCAAUCCCUAUAAAAUUUUCCGUCAGUAUUUUUAGUCCAUAUAAAAAAAUUUCAUCAACAUUUUUUGUCCCUAAAAUGCUUAAGGAAAAUGUCACAGGGACUAAAAAGUGUGAUUUUAUUUUGUAGUGACUAAAAACAAAACUGUAAAUAUUUAUAGGGACUAGAAACUUAAUUAAAAAACAAAACAAUUUUUUAUAAUGAAAAUAUCUCAUUUUAUUUUUUAGAGGCUAAAGUCAAAAUUCUUUAUAUGUGUAGGGAAAAAAAACUUAUUUAACCCUACAUUUUUUUUUUAUAUUACCAGUAGAUUAUUCUUUUUUUUUUUUAAUGGAAGGAUAUUUUCAUUAGACAGAUUCUAGAAAUGAAUCAAAUGCCACAACCUCGGAAAUAGAAGGUGGAUCCUUUUCAAUCCAAACAACAUUUGAAUUAGACGUUAGAGCAAAUUUAGUUAAAUAAUACGCGGCUUGAUUUGCCACACGCCUAACAUGAAUGAAACUAAUAUAAUUAAAACAAUUCGGGUAACGACUGAUUAUUUAGAUAACAAAUAGUCCAAAAAAAUUUUAUUGGGUGUGUUUGUUUCAAGGUAACAAAUUAUAUUUCUGGGAAUAUCAUAUUUCUAGGAAUAUCAUUCCUAGUUCCUACUCAUGUGUUUGGUAAAAAUUUAGAUUUUAUGGAAUUUUUUUAGAAAUUAUUUAAUUAAAAAAGUAAAAAUGAAAAUAAAUGUGAGUAGUAGUAAGAAUUUAUAGCAAGUUGAGUUUUAUUCCCAUGAAAAUGUAAGAUUCUCAUCCUUUAAGCAUGGGAAUAAGAACAGAAGCAUGGAAAUAAAAACGGAAGAAAUCAUGUAUAAAUAACAUUUCUGAGAAUAAAAUUUUCAAAACAUGAAACAAAGAUAGGAAUGUUGCAUUUCCAAUCUCACAUUCCCGGAAAUCAUAUUAUAAAUCUUGAAACAAACACACAUAUAAUAAGGAUUUGAAUAUAAAAUUUCAUAGUAAACAAUUUUAAUGGUUGAACUUCAACUCCUAUAAAUAAUGUCUCCCAUAGCUUUCAUUUUCAACCGAACUAUUUUAACUCUUUAAAAAGCAAACUCCAUAAUAAUAAAGCUUUAAUUUACGCGUCUUCGUGAGUUUAACUCAAUUAAUAGAGUUAUAUAAUAUAUGUAGGGUCGGACACCCCCACCAAUUAUUCUUAAAAAAAGAAUUUCUAACCACCUAAACUACUUGAUAAAUAAAAGUUACAGCUUAUGUGGAUAAUUUAUAAUUUUUUCUCGUGUUUUAUUUUAUAUUUAGUUAUUAAUGAUAUGCAAGUUUCUCAAAAAGGAAAUGAUCGAUUUUUUUUUUUUUAUAAGUUUCUAUAAAAUUGAUUAAGGACGUAUACAAUAUUCGGAAAACCAUUAAUUUUUUUAUUUUUUUUUAAUAAAGAAAACCAUUAAUUUCGUAAAAAAUGUUAUUAAAAUCAACAUUAAAUAUUAGUAAAACCUAGUUAAUACGAAAUUGAUGAAUUUCAAAUUAACAUUAAUUAGCAAAGCAAAACAGGAAUACUCCUGUUAAACAUAAUUUUGGGCGUCUCUUUGCAUUUUUUUUUUUUUUGUCAAAUAGUUUAGUGGUUAGAAUUCAGCUUUUGCAAGCUGAAUAAAUGGGGUGUUCCGGGUUCGAAUCCUAGACCCUGCAUAUAAUAAUACAUGUUCCAGCAAACUGAACUAAGCUCACGGGAACACCUACAUAUUUUUUUAUUCUAGUCUAUUAAGUACAGUCUAUUAUGACCCAAUUAAUUUUCAUAUUAAUGUAUGCAUCAAUUAACUUUAUAAUUUUUUUUAGAAAAAAAUAAAAAAAAAUUUAUACUAGUACUAAACAGUAUUCAUUUUUUUAGCAUAACUGUAGCAGGGCCUUCCUAAUGUUUCGGUAGCCACACCAUAGUGAAAAAAAUUUCCUUAAAUAAUUAACCUAAUGACCAAAUAACACUUAGUAAACUUAAAAAAAAAAAAAAAAAUCUAUUUUUAAGAUAAUUAAAAUAAACUAACACAAACUAAUGAACUAAUAACAUCUCAUGAGGCAAUUUUGUUUUUUUUUUAGUUUAUCGAAAAAACAACAUAGACAGAUUUCUAAAAUGUGUUUGACAUGUGUGCCAUACUGUUUUUUACAUUUCUUCCCAAACCGUGCUUAUAUUAUCUUGCACUAAAAUGCAUAAAUAAACAAACGAUUUUUUUUUUUCACUUUAAAUACAUAUCAAUGAAUUUGGGUAGUAACUAAGUACCUAAAAAAAAAUUUGGUAUAAAAAAUUGGUCAUUGUGUCAAAAAAAAUUGGUAUAAAAAAAGACAAAAAAAAAUUCUCGAAAAGAUCUUAUAAUUAGGGACGGAGGUAGUAUGAUUUAUUGCCGUUUUUCGUUGCUAUUGGCACAAUGACCAAUAAAUAAUCAAAUAAACAUACACAUGAAAAGACUCAAUAUCGACAACUCUUAUUCAAUUCAUUUAUUUUAAAAUUUUGAUCUCAACUAUUUUUAUUUCAAUUUUUAAUAUAUUUCUCUCUAACUUUAAUUAAUUAAACACUUUUAUAAUUUUAAAUAUUUUUCUAAAUAAGUCAUCAAAAGUAAUUUUCUUAUUGAUAUUUUUUAAAAUUUACGUUUAACAUUUUCCCUUUGCUACCUAAGAUUCCCUUAAAAUACAUUGUCCAAUUAACAUCAUUUAGUAUUAUAGUUAUAAAUUCCCUCAAAAAUAAAAUAAAAUAGUAUAGUUAUAGAUCAUCCCGACUUCAUUUUGCAAGCUCAUGCGUUCAAAGUAAAUUGUAUAAAUUUUACAGUGCAAUCAUACCAUGGAAUGGAGACCUAACAAAACAUAUUGCAUUGCCAUGAGCCGGUUGUGUUCAUCAGAAGUUCAAAACCCAUUCACCUUUAUACCCUAAAAACCCCACAUCUACCUAGGCAUGACAACAAAAUUCAUAUCCGUGGUUACCCACCCGAACCAAACCUAAUUUGAUGGAUUUUUUCCGUUUUGAUUGGGUUUGAGUUUUCCCCUAUUUCAAAACACGAGUAUGGGAUGGGUAAAGGGCAUACAGGUAUCCACCCCGAACUCAUACACAAAUCCGUCCCGAAUGCAGAAAGUUAUUUUAUGUUAUAUGUCAUGUUAUUUUGUUUGAUAAUUGCCGUGUUAUAAAAAUUACCAUUAAAAUUUAAAGAAGCAAUUAAAUUAAUCGGUCAAACAAAUGUUAAAAUGAGCAUAUUGCUGGAUGAUGUAUUACAAUAUUUUUCUAGGGGUUGCAAAAAAACUUCUAUUUUUUAUUAAAAAAAUUAUUCAAUAUGGGGACGAGGAUGGGGCGGAGAUACCCGAACCUGUCGGGGAUGUGGAUGAGAUUCAAUUUCUCAUCCCCGUUGAAUAUGUGUAAGAUAACGAAUAAGUAUAUGAAAAUUGGAUAUAUAAACGGAGAAUAUAAAAUCCGUCCCCACCCUACCCAUUGUCAUGCCUAAUCCUACCACAGUUUGAAUAAGUUCAUGGUAUAAAGCAGCCAAUUCAUAAAAGUAUAUGGAUCGGAUCUUUAAAAGGGAAGAAAAAUAAACAAAAGAGCAAAUACCCAAGAAAGAAUAUAUAUUGCCUAGUCAAAUUGUCAACAUUUCCACUUACUGCAACAUAACCAAAUGGGGUCAAUAUGGCGUGUGACUUUGAAGAAAUCUCAUCUCUCGUCACAAAGAGAGUGCUUUUCUAAAAUAAUCAUCAAUUACUAUAUUUUUAUUGGAUUUUGAAGGAUAUACUUUUAGAGGUAUUCUUCUAUAGUCACAAGACUAAAUUAAUAGUAUUUGGAUACACACAUAAAAAGAUGGUUUUUAAAAUAUUUAAUCAUUUUUUUUAUUAAUUUCCUCUUAUUAUUAAAAAAAUAUUUCUUUAUGUGUGUAUAACCAAACACUUUUUAUUUGGCCAUAUGACCAUAUUAGAAUUUCUCAUAUUUUUAUUGGAUGUUACCUAAUUUCUUAUUUUAAAUUUAGUGGGCCCAUGUGGUCCUUAUUUAUUUAUUUAUUUUUGUGACAAAAAACCAUGCGGUCCUUGUUAUUCUUCCACAUCGCAACUUUCUUUUCUAUCUUCUCUCUAGUUAGUUGUUAGUUGUGAUGGAACCGUCCUUAAUUUGUAACUGCACCAUGGAAGCCACGUAAGAGACGUACCACCUGAAAACGAAAAUUUGUAGGUUAAGAACCAAGCGGUGGUGAUGACUAAGGUGUGAAAGUGUGUUUAAAAUUUGAAACAAUUUAUGUCUUACAUUUUAUGAUUUUGUAAGAGUUGAGUUAGAUUCAAUCUUAAGUUAUCAUGUCAACACUAUUGGACUAUUCAAAUCACAUUUGAAAUGUCUAAUUUUAAGCGCGAGAAGAUGUGUUUUGAACUCUUACGAUUAAUCAUAAAUCUUUAAAAAUUGUUUAUAAAUAAAUACAAUUUUAUUGUCGAUUUUAUAAGAGUUGAGUUACGCCAAACUUAAGUUACAAGUCUGCCACAAUUCACCGGUCUUCAUUUCUCUCUGUAAUAGGAAAAGUCUACCGCAAUCCCGAUCAAAAUGUGCCAAGUGAUUAGCUCAUAGUUAUCAUACGAAAUACAGUCAAAUUUGACGUCUCUAGAGUCUAAAAGAUCACUUUUGACAACAAAAAAAAAAACAUAUACAGAUAAUUUAGAAAGUGACAUUGAUAGUUUGCAUACAUUGUAUGACUAGAAAUAAUCGCACAUAAGCACUUUAAUAAGAGAGGUGCACAUUAUAUUAUAUAUAGAGCGAGAGAAGAGACAGAGGAAACAAACUUGUACAACAAUAUAAUAUCAUGGGAAGCCAAGAUGUGAAGUUGGUAGGCUUUUGGGUGAGUCCAUUUGUUAAGAGGGUUGAGUGGGCCUUGAAGCUCAAGGGUGUAAAUUAUGAGUAUGUAGAAGAAGAUAUCUUCAACAAAACUCCUCUCCUUUUGGAAUUGAACCCGGUUCACAAGAAGGUUCCGGUUCUUGUUCAUGCUCAGAAACCAAUUGCAGAGUCAUUCAUUAUCCUUGAGUACAUUGAUGAAACAUGGAAGCAAUCUCCACUUUUGCCUCAACAUCCAUAUGAAAGAGCUCUUGCUCGUUUUUGGGCUGAUUUUGCUGAACAAAAGGUAACUUAUAUACUAAAUCCUUUUCUUUAUCCUAUUUAAUUUAUUUUGAGUUUUUGGUUUAAAAAAACUAAGUAGGAAUCAACUUAUUGGCAUCUUUUUUACCAUUUAUUUUCAUUUAAAAUUUCAUCAAGGAUGUGAUAGUAUCGCACUCAAUAUCUCUUUUGAGUUGUUUUAUAUUAAGCUUUUAGAUAGAGAAAUGAAUAGUUUUGCGACAUACACAAGAUUUAUUUUCAUCAUUAGGUCAUUAAAUUCCAUUAUAUCGUAACUAAUCCAAUGAUGAGAGUUAUUGAUUCAAUGGUAAAAACAAACUUGUGCACAAUACAUUACAGAAAAGAGUAAUAUUAUUUUUAAUAGAAGUAAGUAUAUUCAAUAACUUACUUUUCAAUGCAUGCGUUGUGCAUAUGUCAUAGCUUUUGAAUGCAGCAUGGAUAGCAAUGUGUAACAGUGGAGAAGAACAGGAAAAGGCUUUGAAGGUAGCUAGAGAAGCAAUAGAGAAGAUAGAAGAGGAGAUAAAGGGGAAGAAAUUCUUUGGAGGGGACAAUAUUGGGUACCUUGAUCUUGCUCUUGGAUGGAUUUCUUACUGGCUUCCUGUGUUUGAGGAAGUUGGGUCUAUGCAGAUAAUAGACCCAUUGAAAUGUUCAGCCAUCACUGCAUGGAUGACCAAUUUUCUAAACCAGCCUGUGAUCAACGACAGCUUGCCC